CCUACGGUAGGCUGCAGUAGGGAAUCUUUCACAAUGGGCGAAAGCCUGAUGGAGCAACGCCGCGUGCAGGAUGAAGGCUUUCGGGUUGUAUACUGCUUUUAUAAGGGAGCAAUAUGAUGGUAACUUAUGAAUAAGGAUCGUCUAACUACGUGCCAGCAGCCGCUGUCAUACGUAGGCACCGAGCAUUAUCCGGAGUGACUGGGUGUAAAGAGUUGCGUAGGUGGCAUAAUAAGUAGCUAGUGAAAUCUGGUGGCUCAACCAUUCAGACGAUUAGCUAAACUGUUCAGAUCGAGACCAUUAGGGGUAACUGGAAUUUCUAGUGUAGGAGUGAAAUGCGUAGAUAUUAGAAAGAACACCAAUAGCGUAGGCAGCUUACUGGGACAGUUCUGACACUAAGGCACGAAAGCGUAGGGAGCAAACGGGAUUAGAUACCCUUGUAGUC
Molecule: ribosomal RNA, 442 nt
Filed under: uncultured bacterium
Lineage: Bacteria
Description: partial 16S ribosomal RNA
Rfam family: Bacterial small subunit ribosomal RNA
Source: RNAcentral